ACAAAAAAUAUUGUUUGACUGGGCUGAAUAACUGACAGUAGUGUGAAUUGUGAAGGGACGACAUCAACACAGAUUGAAUAUUCAGGCUGGAUGCUGACAUUUCUUGAAGAAUGCAUAAUAGUUGUGAAGAACAAGCACGUCUCCAGAGGCUUGCUGGGAUGAAUCCAUAAGAACUGUUACACUAUAACCAGCAGGUGGCGUACCUGCCUCGCUGGAACCAGAUGCAUGUUCUACUGUCUGCUCACUUGCCGAGAUCCUCAGGCAGAACAAUGCAAACUGUACAUCUGUGUAUUCAAGAUCUUCUCUCCCUCAUCCUUGGAGGAAGACGGCAAAGUCCUAAAGGCAGCAUCUGACAGGAAGUGCAGUGUGAUGGAACUGCGGUGUGAUGGUGCCGCACGGGGAGCCCACUGACGGGAACUCACAUUCUCAGAAGAGAACCGACGCCAACUGCCCUCGGCAGCCAGGCUCCUCAGGCCCUCUUCCAGGCUGCGGUCAGGACUGCUGAGCCUACAGAGGUCCUAGCAAAGACGAGCGCUUCGAUACCGGCUUCUGAAGGGAAAAUCCCCUUCCAGCGCGAGAUCCCCACCAGCCCGACACUCCCGGGCGCCGGCUGAGCGCAGC
Centrocercus urophasianus (Greater sage-grouse) is the source of this 621-nucleotide long non-coding RNA. RefSeq lists it as uncharacterized. The transcript has 3 exons. The record is from RefSeq and is a predicted model, not a curated record. NCBI's taxonomy places the organism in Eukaryota, Metazoa, Chordata, Aves, Galliformes, Phasianidae.